Molecule: long non-coding RNA, 1181 nt
Filed under: Lupinus angustifolius (narrow-leaved blue lupine)
Lineage: Eukaryota; Viridiplantae; Streptophyta; Magnoliopsida; Fabales; Fabaceae
Description: long non-coding RNA (LANG_LNC000827)
Source: RNAcentral
GAAACUUUUACAUUAUAAGUAUUAAAUGUGAAACUUACUACUUAGUAAAGCCAUAAAUCCCAUUUACAUUCACAAGACCAAUAUUCAAAUGGAAACUAUUCAUAUUGGUGAAGUAAACCGUUAACCCUUUAUAACCAUGGAAAUAAGUUUCCAAUUACAAUGAUCAAUAAAAAGCCCAAGGAUAAAUCACAAUUUGUUUGUGCUUUGUUUCUAUGUUCACAUGAUGCUUCAAAUUAAUCAGACUCCCCAAAUUUCAAUCCAUGUCUGCAAAACUUUGCAACAAGUCAAGUUAGAAUUUUAUCCAACUCUCAGUAAUCUUUUGUCAAAUAUAACACUAAUUCUUUGAACAUAACUCUUUAUCCGUAAUCACAAAAUCUGCAUAAUAUUAUUGAACCCAUGUUCCUAGGCAAAUGCUACUCUGAUAAUGGCAAAAGGAUUGUAUUUUUCAAGCAGAUAUAGAAUCUAUAAUCACAAUUCAACCAAACACAAUGGCCAGGCUAGGUAAGAACACUAUCAACUAUAGACUUUUCCUCCUAAAUUAUAGUAAAUUUUACCCCAUUCGAAGCCAAAAAUCAGACUAUGACGGGACCAAAAAUGGCUAAUUUAGUUCAAGAAAAAUUAAAUCUUCUAACUAAACUGAUUCAAUAAAGAAACCCCAGUAAAAUCCCAGCUCAGUUACCAACAUUAUUGACACACUAAUAAAGUAGAUCAAAAUCUAGUUACCAAUAUUAUUGAACUAAUAGAUAAAUCCAAUAACAUAAUAAAAAAUUUAAAAUCCAUUGAGAAUUACCAAUAAAACUUAUAAAAGUAAUCAUGUAAGCAGUAUUUUGAACCAUUUUUGUCAUAACCAUCAUAAAGAAAAGAAAAAAGAAGUUGAAGAAAAAAGAACAAAAGGGGGAGGCAGUGUGACAGAAAAAGAGGAAGGUGGUAUUGCGACGGCAAAAGGGGAAGGUGGUGGCACGACUACAUCAAGGGGUUAGAGACAACGCCUAUGAAGUUGAGAUUUGGUUUGAGUUUGGAGUAAGAAAGCAAGAGAAUUUGAGAUGGAUGUGGGCGACAUCUUCGCUGCACGACAGCGCGAUGGAACAAAGGAAGGAGGCCCUCAAAAGGCCAUGGCGGUGGUUUAAGUUUAGCAUAUUUGAGGGGAAGAGAGGAAGAGAGGAUCUGAUUUUUUUUUCUUU